This 555-nucleotide ribosomal RNA is filed under the name uncultured bacterium. Its description in RNAcentral is "partial 16S ribosomal RNA". It matches the Rfam family "Bacterial small subunit ribosomal RNA", at positions 355 to 900 of the family's 1533-position model. The record is from RNAcentral.
UGGGGAAUAUUGCACAAUGGGCGCAAGCCUGAUGCAGCCAUGCCGCGUGUGUGAAGAAGGCCUUCGGGUUGUAAAGCACUUUCAGCGAGGAGGAAGGUGGUGAACUUAAUACGUUCAUCAAUUGACGUUACUCGCAGAAGAAGCACCGGCUAACUCCGUGCCAGCAGCCGCGGUAAUACGGGGGGUGCAAGCGUUAAUCGGAAUUACUGGGCGUAAAGCGCACGCAGGCGGUUUGUUAAGUCAGAUGUGAAAUCCCCGGGCUCAACCUGGGAACUGCAUUUGAAACUGGCAAGCUAGAGUCUCGUAGAGGGGGGUAGAAUUCCAGGUGUAGCGGUGAAAUGCGUAGAGAUCUGGAGGAAUACCGGUGGCGAAGGCGGCCCCCUGGACGAAGACUGACGCUCAGGUGCGAAAGCGUGGGGAGCAAACAGGAUUAGAUACCCUGGUAGUCCACGCUGUAAAACGAUGUCGAUUUUGGAGGUUGUGCCCUUGAGGCGUGGCUUCCGGAGCUAACGCGUUAAAUCGACCGCCUGGGGAGUACGGCCGCAAGGUUAAAAC